UGGGCUCGCGGCCUAUCAGCUUGUUGGUGAGGUAAUGGCUCACCAAGGCGUCGACGGGUAGCCGGCCUGAGAGGGUGACCGGCCACACUGGGACUGAGACACGGCCCAGACUCCUACGGGAGGCAGCAGUGGGGAAUAUUGCACAAUGGGCGAAAGCCUGAUGCAGCAACGCCGCGUGAGGGAUGACGGCCUUCGGGUUGUAAACCUCUUUUAGCAGGGAAGAAGCGAAAGUGACGGUACCUGCAGAAAAAGCACCGGCUAACUACGUGCCAGCAGCCGCGGUAAUACGUAGGGUGCAAGCGUUAUCCGGAAUUAUUGGGCGUAAAGAGCUCGUAGGCGGUUUGUCGCGUCUGCUGUGAAAUCCGGAGGCUCAACCUCCGGCCUGCAGUGGGUACGGGCAGACUAGAGUGCGGUAGGGGAGAUUGGAAUUCCUGGUGUAGCGGUGGAAUGCGCAGAUAUCAGGAGGAACACCGAUGGCGAAGGCAGAUCUCUGGGCCGUUACUGACGCUGAGGAGCGAAAGGGUGGGGAGCAAACAGGCUUAGAUACCCUGGUAGUCCACCCCGUAAACGUUGGGAACUAGUUGUGGGG
This 589-nucleotide ribosomal RNA is filed under the name Microbacterium sp. Its description in RNAcentral is "bacterial SSU rRNA". It matches the Rfam family "Bacterial small subunit ribosomal RNA", at positions 226 to 827 of the family's 1533-position model. Lineage: Bacteria; Bacillati; Actinomycetota; Actinomycetes; Micrococcales; Microbacteriaceae. The record is from RNAcentral.